CAGCAGCCACGGUAAUACGUAGGGUGCAAGCGUUAAUCGGAAUUACUGGGCGUAAAGCGUGCGCAGGCGGUUAUAUAAGACAGAUGUGAAAUCCCCGGGCUCAACCUGGGAACUGCAGUGGAUACUGGGCAACUAGAGUAAGGUAGAGGAUAGUGGAAUUUCCGGUGUAGCAGUGAAAUGCGUAGAGAUCGGAAGGAACAUCUGUGGCGAAGGCGACUAUCUGGGCCAUUACUGACACUGAGGCACGAAAGCGUGGGGAGCAAACAGGAUUAGAUACCCCCGUAGUCCCUGUCUCUUAUAC
Molecule: ribosomal RNA, 301 nt
Filed under: uncultured bacterium
Lineage: Bacteria
Description: partial 16S ribosomal RNA
Rfam family: Bacterial small subunit ribosomal RNA
Source: RNAcentral